This 430-nucleotide ribosomal RNA is filed under the name Bacillota bacterium. RNAcentral describes it as "Firmicutes bacterium partial 16S ribosomal RNA". It matches the Rfam family "Bacterial small subunit ribosomal RNA", at positions 355 to 776 of the family's 1533-position model. Lineage: Bacteria; Bacillati; Bacillota. The record is from RNAcentral.
UGGGGAAUAUUGGACAAUGGGCGCAAGCCUGAUCCAGCCAUGCCGCGUGUGUGAAGAAGGCCUUUUGGUUGUAAAGCACUUUAAGCGAGGAGGAGGCUACUUGGAUUAAUACUCUAGGAUAGUGGACGUUACUCGCAGAAUAAGCACCGGCUAACUCUGUGCCAGCAGCCGCGGUAAUACAGAGGGUGCGAGCGUUAAUCGGAUUUACUGGGCGUAAAGCGUGCGUAGGCGGCUUCUUAAGUCGGAUGUGAAAUCCCUGAGCUUAACUUAGGAAUUGCAUUCGAUACUGGGAAGCUAGAGUAUGGGAGAGGAUGGUAGGAUUCCAGGUGUAGCGGUGAAAUGCGUAGAGAUCUGGAGGAAUACCGAUGGCGAAGGCAGCCAUCUGGCCUAAUACUGACGCUGAGGUACGAAAGCAUGGGGAGCAAACAGG